RNAcentral lists this small RNA (103 nucleotides) under uncultured Acetatifactor sp. RNAcentral's name for it is "RT-5 RNA". It matches the Rfam family "RT-5 RNA". Rfam says of the family: Clostridium (Firmicutes). Environment (Cow rumen (57)) Lineage: Bacteria; Bacillati; Bacillota; Clostridia; Lachnospirales; Lachnospiraceae. The record is from RNAcentral.
AGCGCCUGUGAUGGGUCCGGCGUGGAACAAUCGUGGUUUCGCAGGCAGCCGUUUCACGUACGAUCCCGUACAAUCAGGGAAUUUCCCUGAUUUUAACGACUUC